ACUACCCAAGCACCACCAACGCCCAACACCCAAGCACCACCAACGCCCACCACCCAAGCACCACCAACACCCAACACCCAAGCUCCUCCAACACCCACUAGCCAAGCACCACCAACACCCACUAAUACCCCAGCACCUCCAACACCUACUAAUACCCCAGCACCCCCAACACCCACUAAUACCCCAGCACCUCCAACACCUACUACUACACCAGCUCCUCCUACACCUACUACUACCCCAGCUCCUCCUACACCUACUGGUUCUCCUCCUCCGGUUAACACACAAACGCCACCAGCUCAGCCACCGCCAACUGCUUCACCACCUCCUACUGUAACUUCACCUCCUCCAGCUGUAACUUCUCCACCACAAUCUACACCUCCACCGGCACCAGCUACUCCUCCUCCGCCUGCAGUGAGUUCUCCACCACCUCCUGCAGCUCCUUCACCAGCACCUCUUGCUUCAACCCCAGCUCCGGCUCCUGCAAAGAAGUUAACAUCUCCGGCACCAUCUCCUUCGGCAUUGAGUCCUCCCUUACCUCCCACUGGUGCUCCAGCUCUAGCUCCCAGUCUUGGAGCUUUAUCUCCUGCUCCUUCAGCCACUGAUCAGGUAUUUUAUUUUCUUUCUUUUAUCAUUUUGGAUGUAAUCCCUAAAUAGUGCGGAUCGGAUAUGUUGGAUCCGUCUGUCGGCGACGGCUAUACGUUUCAGAAAUUCAACUGUAAGUAAGUAUUUACGUGGAAGAAAAGUAGAUAGGGAACCUAGAUGAAAGUGUGAAUAAUCUAAUACUACCAAUAAAUACACUUCAGUAUUAAUGUAAGAAUAUUAUUUUAUUUUUAGUUUUUAAGUUAUUAGUUUGUGUUUAAAGAGUUUAGUUUUCAGUUUAACAUUUUGUCUCCUGGGUAUAAUUUUAUAUCGCAAUCUCAAUAUUAUCUUAAUACUCCUACUAGAUUAAGCACAUGAGAUAACUUAUAAGGGGAUUCAUUUUAUGGGGAUAAAACACCUAGAGAACACCAAAUAAGAAUUGAUUUUAUCUUUUUAUUUUAUUCGCUUUAAUAACAAGGUUAAAAUUAUAAAGAACAUUAUAUUAUACGUUAAAAUUUUCAUUUAUAAUGCAAUGAACAAAUGAUUAUUUAAUCCUCAAUGUUGCAAUUCCUACAUUAUAAUCACUGCAUAACAUUGUAUUGUAUGCAAAACAAACGAUCCCUUAACAAUUGACUGUUUAAGUAAUUACCCCUCGUUAAGCUUUUAUUCUUGAUUGAGAAGUUCAUAAUCAUCAUUAUAGAUCUUUAUAAUUUGGAUUUCCUAGUUUCCUUUACUUUUAUAAGUUGGCAAUCCUAUUUAAUACUCCCUCCAUUCCCUUUUAAAUUUGUUUUAAAAUGGUAAGUAAUUUUUCAAGAUAUCAAAAGAAACUAAUAUCUUUUUUCCAAUAUUACCCUUGUAUAAUACAUUGAUGAACAAGCUUAUAAGAAGUCUUUCAAGACUUCUUUGUAUAUUUUCCUACGCAUAUAUUAAAAGUCUUUUUAUAAAAUAAUCACUUAUUUAAUACUAUUAAGUGAUUUUCUUAAUGGGUUUGCAAAAGAAUGGAGUAAUUAGUAACUCUUGUAAAGACCAAUUAUUCUAAUAGUCAUUAGUCACUUUUUGAUAUUUGGAUGCAUGUUUAAUUUGCAGAGUGGAGUGGAGGGCCUGAAGUUGUCAACAAUAAUUGUUAAAAUCUUAGUCUUAGGGUGGGGUCUACUCUACUUUGUAAUGUAGAACUCUUUCUUUUUUAUCCUGCAUCAUUUGCCUUUUUCUCUACAUAUAUGAAUUGCCAUCUCUUUAUUUAGGAGGAUAAUGAUGGCUCAUUUCCUUACCUGUACUUUGGAUUAAACAUUCACUUGGUUUUUUUGGAUGUUGUUGUUAAGAGGAGCUAUUUUGUAUUUUGAGGUUUCUUUGGAUGUUGUUGUUGAGGAAAGCUAUUUUGUAUUUUGAGAGGAUUGUUUAUGAAUUGAUCACUUCUAUCGUUUCUAUAUGUUCAUUAAUUCAUCUCUCUCCCCUUUCAAUUUCAAUGCAACAAUCAAACUAGAUUAUUUCGGGUGUUAACCGACAUUACAAAAACAACUGAUUUUAGUUAUGAACUUUGUCG
This 2119-nucleotide long non-coding RNA is filed under the name Nicotiana tabacum (common tobacco). RNAcentral describes it as "long non-coding RNA (NTAB_LNC000200)". The record is from RNAcentral. Lineage: Eukaryota; Viridiplantae; Streptophyta; Magnoliopsida; Solanales; Solanaceae.